GUCGAGAAUCUUCCGCAAUGCGCGAAAGCGUGACGGAGCGACACCGCGUGAUGGAUGAAGUCCUUCGGGGCGUAAACAUCUUUUAUAAAGGAGGGAAUUUUUGACGUUACUUUAUGAAUAAGGGGCUCCCAAUCUCGUGCCAGCAGGAGCGGUAAUACGAGAGCCUCAAGCGUUAUCCGGAAUCAUUGGGCGUAAAGGGUGCGUAGGUGGUUUGAUUAGUCUCCCGUUAAAACUUCGAGCUUAACUCGAAAAGAGCGGGGGAAACGGUCAAACUAGAGUAUGUGAGAGGUGUGUGGAACUCAUGGUGUAGGGGUGAAAUCCGUUGAUAUCAUGGGGAACACCAAAAGCGAAGGCAGCACACUGGCACAUCACUGACACUGAGGCACGAAACCUAAGGUAGCGAAUGGGAUUAGAAACCCCAGUAGUCC
Molecule: ribosomal RNA, 428 nt
Filed under: uncultured bacterium
Lineage: Bacteria
Description: partial 16S ribosomal RNA
Rfam family: Bacterial small subunit ribosomal RNA
Source: RNAcentral